CCUACGGGUGGCAGCAGUGGGGAAUAUUGGGCAAUGGGCGCAAGCCUGACCCAGCAACGCCGCGUGAAGGAAGAAGGCUUUCGGGUUGUAAACUUCUUUUCUCAGGGACGAAGAAAGUGACGGUACCUGAGGAAUAAGCCACGGCUAACUACGGGCCAGCAGCCGCGGUAAUACGUAGUGGGCAAGCGUUAUCCGGAUUGAUUGGGUGUAAAGGGCGUGUAGGCGGGAGCGCAAGUGAGAUGUGAAAACUCAGGGCUCAACCCUGAGCAUGCAUUUGAAACUGUGUUCCUUGAGUGCUUGGGAGGCAAUCGGAAUUCCGUGUGUAGCGGUGAAAUGCGUAGAUAUACGGAGGAACACCAGUGGCGAAGGCAGACUGCUGGACCGUAACUGACGCUGAGGCGCGAAAGCGUGGGGAGCAAACAGGAUUAGAUACCCGAGUAGUC
This 443-nucleotide ribosomal RNA is filed under the name uncultured bacterium. Its description in RNAcentral is "partial 16S ribosomal RNA". It matches the Rfam family "Bacterial small subunit ribosomal RNA", at positions 338 to 795 of the family's 1533-position model. The record is from RNAcentral.